AGGACGAACGCUGGCGGCGUGCUUAACACAUGCAAGUCGAGCGGAAAGGCCCUUCGGGGUACUCGAGCGGCGAACGGGUGAGUAACACGUGAGUAACCUGCCCUGGACUUUGGGAUAACCCUCGGAAACGGGGGCUAAUACCGGAUACGACUUUUCCUCGCAUGGGGAUUGGUGGAAAGUUUUUCGGUCUGGGAUGGGCUCGCGGCCUAUCAGCUUGUUGGUGGGGUGAUGGCCUACCAAGGCGACGACGGGUAGCC
This 257-nucleotide ribosomal RNA is filed under the name uncultured bacterium. Its description in RNAcentral is "partial small subunit ribosomal RNA". It matches the Rfam family "Bacterial small subunit ribosomal RNA", at positions 26 to 288 of the family's 1533-position model. The record is from RNAcentral.